This 515-nucleotide ribosomal RNA is filed under the name uncultured bacterium. RNAcentral's name for it is "partial 16S ribosomal RNA". It matches the Rfam family "Bacterial small subunit ribosomal RNA", at positions 28 to 523 of the family's 1533-position model. The record is from RNAcentral.
GAUGAACGCUGGCGGCGUGCCUAAUACAUGCAAGUCGAGCGAAUGGAUUAAGAGCUUGCUCUUAUGAAGUUAGCGGCGGACGGGUGAGUAACACGUGGGUAACCUGCCCAUAAGACUGGGAUAACUCCGGGAAACCGGGGCUAAUACCGGAUAAUAUUUUGAACUGCAUGGUUCAAAAUUGAAAGGCGGCUUCGGCUGUCACUUAUGGAUGGACCCGCGUCGCAUUAGCUAGUCGGUGAGGUAACGGCUCACCAAGGCAACGAUGCGUAGCCGACCUGAGAGGGUGAUCGGCAACACUGGGACUGAGACACGGCCCAGACUCCUACGGGAGGCAGCAGUAGGGAAUCUUCCGCAAUGGACGAAAGUCUGACGGAGCAACGCCGCGUGAGUGAUGAAGGCUUUCGGGUCAUAAAACUCUGUUGUUAGGGAAGAACAAGUGCUAGUUGAAUAAGCUGGCACCUUGACGGUACCUAACCAGAAAGCCACGGCUAACUACGUGCCAGCCGCCGCCGUAA